This 497-nucleotide ribosomal RNA is filed under the name uncultured bacterium. RNAcentral's name for it is "partial 16S ribosomal RNA". It matches the Rfam family "Bacterial small subunit ribosomal RNA", at positions 28 to 507 of the family's 1533-position model. The record is from RNAcentral.
GAUGAACGCUGGCGGCGUGCCUAAUACAUGCAAGUCGAGCGGACAGACGAGAAGCGUGUGCCUCUGACGGUAGCGGCUGACGGGUGAGUAACACGUGGAUAACCUUCUUCUAAUUCUUGGAGAACUUCGGGAAACCGGUUCCAAUACUAGCGAAUACAUUCAACCGCAUGGAUCAAUAGUUAUAGACGGCUUUGCUGUUUGUUAUAGACGGAUCCGUGCCGGAUUAGCUAGUUGGUAAGGUAACGGCUUACCAAGGCAACGAUGCGUAGCUGAUCUGAGGGGAUGAUCAGCCACACUGGAACUGAGACACGGUCCAGACUCCUACGGGAGGCAGCAGUGGGGAAUAUUCCGCAAUGGGCGAAAGCCUGACGGAGCAAUGCCGCGUGAGUGAUGAAGGUCUUCGGGUCGUAAAGCUCUGUUGUUGGGAAAGAACAACAGUGUGAGAAACUAUGCACGUCUUGACGGUACCUAAUGAGAAAGCAACGGCUAACUACGUG